GGCAUGCUUUACACAUGCAAGUCGAACGGUAACAGGUCUUCGGAUGCUGACGAGUGGCGAACGGGUGAGUAAUACAUCGGAACGUGCCUAGUAGUGGGGGAUAACUACUCGAAAGAGUAGCUAAUACCGCAUGAGAUCUACGGAUGAAAGCAGGGGACCUUCGGGCCUUGUGCUACUAGAGCGGCUGAUGGCAGAUUAGGUAGUUGGUGGGGUAAAGGCUUACCAAGCCUGCGAUCUGUAGCUGGUCUGAGAGGACGACCAGCCACACUGGGACUGAGACACGGCCCAGACUCCUACGGGAGGCAGCAGUGGGGAAUUUUGGACAAUGGGCGAAAGCCUGAUCCAGCAAUGCCGCGUGCAGGAUGAAGGCCCUCGGGUUGUAAACUGCUUUUGUACGGAACGAAAAGCCUGGGGCUAAUAUCCCCGGGUCAUGACGGUACCGUAAGAAUAAGCACCGGCUAACUACGUGCCAGCAGCCGCGGUAAUACGUAGGGUGCAAGCGUUAAUCGGAAUUACUGGGCGUAAAGCGUGCGCAGGCGGUUUUGUAAGACAGUGGUGAAAUC
This 563-nucleotide ribosomal RNA is filed under the name Comamonas testosteroni. RNAcentral describes it as "bacterial SSU rRNA". It matches the Rfam family "Bacterial small subunit ribosomal RNA", at positions 41 to 601 of the family's 1533-position model. Lineage: Bacteria; Pseudomonadati; Pseudomonadota; Betaproteobacteria; Burkholderiales; Comamonadaceae. The record is from RNAcentral.